CUUAUAAUUGUAAUUAUGAUC
Molecule: microRNA, 21 nt
Filed under: Solanum tuberosum (potato)
Lineage: Eukaryota; Viridiplantae; Streptophyta; Magnoliopsida; Solanales; Solanaceae
Description: stu-miR8040-3p
Source: miRBase by way of RNAcentral